GGCUACAUAGCUCAGCGGUAGAGCAACCGGCUGUUAACCGGUUGGUCGCAGGUUCAAUCCCUGCUGUAGCCG
RNAcentral lists this transfer RNA (72 nucleotides) under Ureaplasma diversum NCTC 246. It matches the Rfam family "tRNA". Rfam says of the family: Transfer RNA (tRNA) molecules are approximately 80 nucleotides in length. Their secondary structure includes four short double-helical elements and three loops (D, anti-codon, and T loops). Lineage: Bacteria; Bacillati; Mycoplasmatota; Mycoplasmoidales; Mycoplasmoidaceae. The record is from Rfam by way of RNAcentral.